Molecule: ribosomal RNA, 440 nt
Filed under: uncultured bacterium
Lineage: Bacteria
Description: partial 16S ribosomal RNA
Rfam family: Bacterial small subunit ribosomal RNA
Source: RNAcentral
CCUACGGGUGGCAGCAGUAGGGAAUAUUGCUCAAUGGGGGAAACCCUGAAGCAGCAACGCCGCGUGGAGGAUGAAGGUUUUAGGAUUGUAAACUCCUUUUGUUAGAGAAGAUUAUGACGGUAUCUAACGAAUAAGCACCGGCUAACUCCGUGCCAGCAGCCGCGGUAAUACGGAGGGGGCAAGCGUUAUCCGGAAUGACUGGGCGUAAAGGGUGCGUAGGUGGUUGUGCAAGUUGGUAGCGUAAUCCCGGGGCUCAACCUCGGUGCUACUACCAAAACUGUUGAACUUGAGUGCAGGAGGGGUGAAUUGAAUUCCCAGUGUAGCGGUGGAAUGCGUAGAUAUUGGGAAGAACACCAGCGGCGAAGGCGAUUCACUGGACUGUAACUGACACUGAGGCACGAAAGCGUGGGGAGCAAACAGGAUUAGAUACCCGAGUAGUC